Molecule: long non-coding RNA, 656 nt
Filed under: Elaeis guineensis (African oil palm)
Lineage: Eukaryota; Viridiplantae; Streptophyta; Magnoliopsida; Arecales; Arecaceae
Description: long non-coding RNA (EGUI_LNC016377)
Source: RNAcentral
GGGGCUGUCAAAUUGACGUGGGUUGUCAGGUCAUCAGAAUUAACCCAUGUCCUUAGCAGGACAAUGCCCCAGGACGGUCGCACAGUAUGUCCUUGACAUGACAACAGCCCAUAGUGGUUGUACGGCAUUUGGACGGGUUGGCCAACUAUAUGUCGGUAUUCGACUGCCGGAAUGUCGGGUGAUGACUCGAAAACACCGUCGGCUGAUAUGGUGCCUUGUGAAAGUCGGACGUCGGCUGCCACCCCCGACAGUGAGUCGGUGAUAUGGGUUCGACCGUUCGAUCGGUUGGAAAUAGUAUUGGUCUGUUCGGCCGGCAUACCUUCAAUCGGAUAUUAUCGACAGUCAUUGUCGGAGUCGUCUGUCCGUCUGGUGGGUAGAGUCGGGCGUCGGUCGGACCGUUUCGAAAAUAAGUCGGCAUAUAGGGGUCGGUCAGUAUAUCCCAACACCAGACAUAACUCCACAAUUCAUUGGAUUUAUUUUUCAUAUCCAAAUUCUACGUUCCAUGUCUCUCAUAAAACAUAGAAAGUCCUACUUGGUGUCUGUAGGCACUCCAAGAAAGGAAAUGCUACAUCUAGAUUUCCAAUGGGAACUACCAUUUUCAUUUUCUAAAUGCAUCUUGUCUUAAGUAGAUGUACCAACAAUAAAAAUAUCAAAAG